Nicotiana attenuata is the source of this 657-nucleotide long non-coding RNA. RefSeq lists it as uncharacterized. NCBI's taxonomy places the organism in Eukaryota, Viridiplantae, Streptophyta, Magnoliopsida, Solanales, Solanaceae. The transcript is spliced from 2 exons. The record is from RefSeq and is a predicted model, not a curated record.
AAAGUAUCAAAAAGUAAAACAAAAGAAGACAAAAGCUAAAGUGCCGAGAAAACCUGGGAUGGGAAUUUGAUUAAGGGGGGAGGGGGAAGUCUAAAACCUUAUCUGUUUCUUAAGGAAUCAAAUUAGGGGUUGGAAAGAUGGGCUUUAACAGUAAGCCUUGACUGGGAAAAAGGAAAAAGAGAAGAAGAAGAAAGCUUUGGUCCGAGGCUUUAAGAAGAUGUUGCAGUUGGAACUGAAAGUAGCAAUUCUCCUUCGGCUCAAGAGAGACAGCAGUUGACGCAGGCGAGGAUUUCGUUAAUUAGAGCGCACAGGUUGAGAGCUCUUGGUGAGCCUCGCACUUGUUCGGGUGGGCGAAGAGUUUUAUUUAUUUGCUAUAGUCUUUUCUUUUGAACUCUUAGAGUUUCUCCAUCGUUAUCUUACUAGUAUCGUGAGUAUUCAUUUGUUGAUAUGGACUAGUUACUAGUAUUAAACUUUCUUUUCGUAUUUUUAGAGAUGGUUUUGGUUUUAUUAUGUUAAGGAGGUUGGUAAUAUUGGUGGAAACCCAUUUGUGGUUAGUUGAUGAAGAUUGUGACUGAUUUAGGUGAAUAUUUGUUGGUUGUUACUUGUUUGUAAGACAGGAAAUUUUUUGGAUAGUCCAAAAACAGGAAAAAUUCUGUC